UAGCUCAGUGUAGAGCACUUGUCUAACAUGCAAGAGGCCCUGGAUUCAAUCCCCAG
Molecule: transfer RNA, 56 nt
Filed under: Fukomys damarensis (Damara mole-rat)
Lineage: Eukaryota; Metazoa; Chordata; Mammalia; Rodentia; Bathyergidae
Rfam family: tRNA
About the family: Transfer RNA (tRNA) molecules are approximately 80 nucleotides in length.
Source: Rfam by way of RNAcentral